RNAcentral lists this long non-coding RNA (2421 nucleotides) under Homo sapiens (human). Its description in RNAcentral is "non-protein coding LINC00092:15". Lineage: Eukaryota; Metazoa; Chordata; Mammalia; Primates; Hominidae. The record is from RNAcentral.
CUAGGACUUGGUAACAGGUUGAGAGCGGCCACUUGGCCGGGGGCGCCGGCUUCGGAGGCGGGAGGGAGGUGGAGGAAGGGAAGGCAGCUGCAGGGCCGACCUGCGGGGUGGGCGUGAGGCCGGGGGAUUGGGGCCGCAGGGGUUCGGCCUGGAGGAGCGGCGUGGGGGCGCCGGGGCCCUGAUUCCAUCCUGGGCGGGUCGGCCCCGCAGCCGCUGCGCUCGGAACCCCCUAGGCGCCCCGCAGUACCCGGCGUCCUUCCUGCCUCCUCCUCGCCCCUGUCCUCCGUCCGAGCCCCAGUCCCGCCGACCCUGCCGGCGCCUCCGCCCUCCCGCCCUCCCGCCCUCGGUUUCCCACGACCUCGGCGCGACGCGCGCGGGAUCCAGUGGAGACUGCUUUCCCAUAGGCCGCCAUCCAGGGCGGGGAAGGGAGCGGACCCUCCCGGCUCCAGGUGCCUGGGCCCCCGGCGGCCUGCGGAGGCCUCGCCCCACGCCACCCGCCCACUGGCCUCGUCUUCGCGCGGGGAGAAAAGCAGCCUGAUUCGGAGGAACGGGUUGCUUGGGGCGGCUCCCAGCUCGAGUUGUGGGCCCCGCCGCGGGUGCCCUUCGGAAACGCGCUGACACCAGGCGAAGCCGCCUCUGCCCGGACGCAGCCCGACACUUGGCCCGCGGGGUUCCCCGGGACGCCUGAGAGUAAUGGGCGCGAGGGGGAAAGCCGAACGGCCUCCCUGUGCCCGGCGCAGGCGGUGCCCCCUAGCUGGGUUCGCCGCGGCGGCGCUGCGAGCCCCCGACACUGAGGACUUUUGGUCCAACAGUCCGACGGGGCCCGGUGCGCCGUUCCCUCCGCCCUCUCCCCGCUCCCCGGCCCGCGCGUCUUGGAGGGUGGGUGAAUUGUCGGAAGCACUCUACGCCUGGCCAACCCAAACCAGGAACCUCCGCACCAAACAGCCCACGUUGCUGCUGCUCUGGGGUUUUAACGGCCAAGGGAGACUGGAGAAGGGGUGUUCUGCCUUCCCAUUCUCUUAGGCCCGUCCACUCCCCAUCCCCACAGUUUGGAAGUGGCCUUUUCUGAGGACUCCAGCGCAAAGCAUGUUUCUCCUUUUGAGCUGCGGAAGCCUUGCUUGUUCCCGCCAUUGGGAGGGCAUUCCAUCAUCUGCAGCUGCCUUCCUCGGUGGGCCUUGUCCCUUAGCGUCCACCUAGGGGACAUUCUAAGCUUCUUGAGACCUGCUUGUCCACCCCAACAUGUCUCAGCAUAUGGCUGUGCCCUAAGGGGUCUUUGAGGGCAUUUUAGGAGGUGAGCGGCGCCCCUACCUGGGCUCCGCGGGGCCGAUUCGGUUUGCCCUUUGCUGGCAUGUCAGUGAAUUAACUGCUGUCCUUGGGAUGACCUGCCCUAUGAUUUGGCCUCUGGAGCAUCCCGGGUGUGUAUUUCAGAACUCCUCCCAUCUUAUCCACCUGCUGAAGGCCUGGCCCCCUGAUAUGGUUUGGCUCUGUUUCCCCACCCAAAUCUCACCUUGAAUUUUAAUAAUCCCCACGUGUCAUGGGCGGGACCAGGUGGAGGUAAUUGAAUCAUGGAGGUGGUUUCCUGAACGCUGCUCUCGUGACAGUGAGUUCACAAGAUUUUUUUUUUUAACGGAGUAUCACUCUGUCACUCAGGCUGGAGUGCAGUGGCGCGAUCUUGGUUCACUGCAACCUCUGCCUCCCGGGUUCAAGAGAUUCUCCUGCCUCAGCCUCCCGAGUAGCUGGGAUUACAGGUGCGCGCCAUCACGCCCGGCUAAUGUGUAUUUUUAGUAGAGAAAGGGUUUCACCAUGUUGGUUAGGCUGGUCUGGAACUCCUGACCUUGUGAUCUGCCUGCCUCGGCCUCCCAAAGUGCUGGGAUUACACGCGUGAGCCACUGUGCCCAGCCGAUCUGAUGCUUUUAUAAAGGGCUUUCCCCGUCCCCCUUCCUCUCUCUCACCACCCUGUGAGAAAGGUGCCUUUCUUCCCCCUUCACGUGAACUGCCUCCAUGAUUGUAAGCUUCCUGAGGCCUCCCCAGCUAUAAGGAACUGUGAGCCAAUUAAACUGCUUUAUAAAUUAACCCAGGUAUUUCUCGGGUAUUUCUUCAUAGCAGCGUGAGAAUGGACUGAUACACCCCCAAUGUGGAGUAGGGGAAGCUGAGGGAGUUAGGAGGUCCCAGCAAGGUGAAGGUGUGAUGGGGUCUUGGGACAGUGAGAGUGCUGCCUCAGGCAACAGUGGGCAGGUCAUUGAGGCUCCAUUGAGCUUGGUGAGCAGGAAGCUGAGAGAGGGAGCUGUCGAUUCAGGAGUCAGGGGUGACAUGGAAGGAACCUAGGGCUUUGCCAGGCACAGGUGAAGGAAGGCCACUUAGGUACUGGCAGUGGGAAGAGAGGGCAGGGAGUGGUGGACGGAGAGGAAGAGAAAGCUGAAC